This 392-nucleotide ribosomal RNA is filed under the name uncultured bacterium. Its description in RNAcentral is "bacterial SSU rRNA". It matches the Rfam family "Bacterial small subunit ribosomal RNA", at positions 775 to 1165 of the family's 1533-position model. The record is from RNAcentral.
GGAUUAGAUACCCUGGUAGUCCAUGCCGUAAACGUUGGGCACUAGGUGUGGGGGACAUUCCACGUUUUCCGUACCGUAGCUAACGCAUUAAGUGCCCCGCCUGGGGAGUACGGCCGCAAGGCUAAAACUCAAAGGAAUUGACGGGUGCCCGCACAAGCGGCGGAGCAUGCGGAUUAAUUCGAUGCAACGCGAAGAACCUUACCAAGGCUUGACAUGAACCGGUAAUACCUGGAAACAGGUGCCCCGCUUGCGGUCGGUUUACAGGUGGUGCAUGGUUGUCGUCAGCUCGUGUCGUGAGAUGUUGGGUUAAGUCCCGCAACGAGCGCAACCCUCGUUCUAUGUUGCCAGCGCGUUAUGGCGGGGACUCAUAGGAGACUGCCGGGGUCAACUCG